This 2930-nucleotide long non-coding RNA is filed under the name Nicotiana benthamiana. RNAcentral's name for it is "long non-coding RNA (NBEN_LNC021521)". Lineage: Eukaryota; Viridiplantae; Streptophyta; Magnoliopsida; Solanales; Solanaceae. The record is from RNAcentral.
CAUAUAAAUCCUUGUUUCCCAAAGCCCUAACCCUAACACCUAAGAAUACCAACAACCGCCCCCUCCUCAACCUCUCCGCCCGUGACUCGCGCCCAAACCAGCCGGAAAUCACCCCAAUAUCCCGUUCCACUUAAGACCUGGUCCCCUCGAUUGUCCCCCCAUCAUUAUAAUUCGAUUCUACGCGUUUUUCUUUCAUCUCACGAGCUUUUCACAAUUGUUUGAAGAAUCGGGCCAUUCAUGAAUGGAUGAUAGUUAAAUGGGGGCCGUAAGUUCGAAAUAUUUGGAUCCUCGGCGUCCAUUUGCCUAAAAUCCAUUGGUACGUAAGGUUUUUGGAAUUUUGGAGUUCUGUUUUUCGCAUUUGGAGAUGGAAAAAAACGAUUUCUUGGUGAGGAAGCAUAGAAGGUUCGAGACCCCCUAUAUAUUGGGGUGGUUUCUCAGAUUUUGAGGGGCCUUUUGGAGAAAAAUAAUUCGAAAAACAAAACUAGGGUACUUGGUUUUUGUGUCUUUUUUCUCAGAUUUUCUGUUUCACAUAUAAUUGAUAUUCCAGAAAAAUAGAUAUAAAAAAAUAGUUUGAGUUUCGUUUUGUUUGAACCUCUGUUUCAUUUUGAAAAAAAUUCAAAAAAUUCAAAAAAAAUACAUUCAGUUCCUUCUUCUGGUUUUGAUUUCAAUAUGGAGAUCGAUUGAUUCGAGGUUUGGAGCCGGUUCGAUUUCCUGCUUGUCGCCCGAGGUCUGGUUGGUCUUAAUCGCGGUUCGUUCGAUUCUGUUGCUGUUUCUCAUAGGAUUCCAGAAUCAAGGUGUGUAUAUUUGUUGAUUCUCUACUGUUACAUUGAAAGCAAUUUUCAUCACAGGUUCAUCUCUUUCCUUCUUAUUCUUGUUAACGAUGGUUUGCAUUCUGCUCAUGUUUCGUGUGUUUCAAUGGUUGCUUAGUAUCCAUGCUAGAUUUUAAAUGGCUUUUACAUUAAGAUUCUGAUGAGGAGCUCUGUUGAUGUAUUGUGAUUGUACUAGUUUCUUGGGUAUCAAAAGUGGCUGAAUAUUUACAUGUUAGAUUCAGAAUAUUAUGUCCGUUUGGUGAAGUAUAAGUUGAUUGACUUCCCUGUUCGAGAUCGCAAAAUGUUUCGCGCUUCACUCUUUCUGUUGAUUAAAUGAUCAUUUACUUGAAUAAGUUUAAAACAACUGAUUCUCUGCUUUUGAUCUUGUAUUGCUUGCGUGCUGGUUUAGCUGCUAGAAAAUAGGAGUAUAGUUUGUCCUUUUCAACUCCAUUGAAGGUCUCUGUUCUCACUCUUGAUUUUGGUACUGAACUUCUGAUUUCUUCGUGAUCUGAUAAUGCAUUUUUGAAUUUGGAUGUCACUGACCGCUCAUGAGUUUCUUGAAGUGUCGUUUUUUAGUUCAGUCAUAAUCAUGCAUUACUCUUCCUGAAUUCGAGAUUAUCAUAUUGUUUUUCCUCAUUGAAACACCGAAAUACAGUUUUAUUAGUGAGUCUGGUUUCGGAGAAUUGUGACAGUUUGGUGCAUAAUGGUAUAUCUUAAGGGAUUUAUCUAGUUUUAUUAAGGUUUUGAGUAGGAUAGGUUCAUUACUUUUGCUUGGAAAUUGGUAGAUUGCUGCCUUAAAUAAAAAUAAUCUAAACUAAGAGUGUUAUAAAACUAUUCCCCUCAUUUGUUUAAUGCAAAUCUGUGUUAAAUCCCUGUCAAAAUCAGCGUAAGUUGACUCUUUGAGGUCCCUUCUCAUCCUUUUAUCCUAUGUUUGCCAUGUUAUUUUGUAUAUGAUGAAUUUUCCAUGAUACCUGUCCAUAGAAGCAGUUUUGUAUCGUUGCAAUUUGGGGCUAGGAAUCUUAGACUCUCUUAGUUGCAAUUACUUUUUUUUUUUUUUGCAGAAAAUGGUGUUGAUUUUAGUGCUCGUUGGUUUAUGAUGCCUCUUCAUUUGAACUAAGCUUGAGAUUUACUUUAAGGGGAAUAAUUAAUUUCUUUUAUAGUCAGAUACUUAAAUUAGUGCAAGUCUUCUGCAUCUUUCCUUUUAAAACUAGAACUUAAGCUUUCAAUAUAUCGGUGGUGGGUUUUCUAACUUUGAGCUGAGUACGAAUUGUUAAUGUUUAUUACAGCUAUUUGGAGAAGUGAUAGUUUAUUAGUUAAAUUUUUGGUAUUGAAAACACGUUAGAAUGACAUCCUAAUAUGCUUUGGUUAAAUUUGUUCUAACCUUUUAGUGCUUUAGUCCAUUUCUCGUCCUCAUGUAGAUAAGUUAAUUUGUCUCUUAUUCACUUAGUUGGUUUUGAUUUGAAUUGAAAGAUCUUCAAGUAAUCUUGCAGUUCGGUUGUGGCGUAGUUGGCUUAAGAUUGACUUGGGAUCGGGUCUUAAAUAUUAAAAGACUACAAAAUGAAAUAUUUUGUUGCGAAUGUUUUAUUUAUUUAAUUGGCCCGCUAGUAGCAUGUUUAGGCCGACCACACUUGGGUAGGCAGGUCUUUAGGGCGUUUAUAUUAUAGUGUUGAUGAGGCGAGAGGUUGUCCCUUUAGUUGAUUAUAUUAUCCGGGCAAUGCCCCGAAGUACUAUGUAGUUGGAGGCCAUGACGAAUUUCGUGGAGGAAGUAUAGUAUAGGUUAGCGUAGAACUUUAGUUUUUAUUAUUUUUUCUUUUGUUAUGUGGGGACGGCCUGGAACCUCUUUUGGAUGUUUAUUUUUCUGUGUUUGUUUUACCUCAAACUUAAUUUUUUAAAUGCCAACUAGGUCGAGUACGCAACCAUGAACUUCACGGGACGUGGGGAGUGCCUAAUACCUUCUCCCCAAUCAAAUAAACCCCCUUACCGGAAUCUCUGGUGCAGACUUGGUAGUUGGAGUCUCAAGUGUUUUAAUAGGGAAGUUAUUUCUAAAAACCGAUGGCUUGGCACACCGAAAUCAAAUGUCAGGUGGCGACUCUGAGUUUAUUUCCUUUUGAAACACAAUUU